GGGUGAGUCGACCCCUAAGGCGAGGCCGAAAGGCGUAGUCGAUGGGAAACAGGUUAAUAUUCCUGUACUUGGUGUUACUGCGAAGGGGGGACGGAGAAGGCUAUGUUGGCCGGGCGACGGUUGUCCCGGUUUAAGCGUGUAGGCUGGUUUUCCAGGCAAAUCCGGAAAAUCAAGGCUGAGGCGUGAUGACGAGGCACUACGGUGCUGAAGCAACAAAUGCCCUGCUUCCAGGAAAAGCCUCUAAGCAUCAGGUAACAUCAAAUCGUACCCCAAACCGACACAGGUGGUCAGGUAGAGAAUACCAAGGCGCUUGAGAGAACUCGGGUGAAGGAACUAGGCAAAAUGGUGCCGUAACUUCGGGAGAAGGCACGCUGAUAUGUAGGUGAAGCGACUUGCUCGUGGAGCUGAAAUCAGUCGAAGAUACCAGCUGGCUGCAACUGUUUAUUAAAAACACAGCACUGUGCAAACACGAAAGUGGACGUAUACGGUGUGACGCCUCCCCGGUGCCGGAAGGUUAAUUGAUGGGGUCAGCGCAAGCGAAGCUCUUGAUCGAAGCCCCGGUAAACGGCGGCCGUAACAAUAACGGUCCUAAGGUAGCGAAAUUCCUUGUCGGGUAAGUUCCGACCAGCACGAAUGGCGUAAUGAUGGCCAGGCUGUCUCCACCCGAGACUCAGUGAAAUUGAACUCGCUGUGAAGAUGCAGUGUACCCGCGGCAAGACGGAAAGGCCCCGUGAACCUUUACUAUAGCUUGACACUGAACAUUGAGCCUUGAUGUGUAGGAUAGGUGGGAGGCUUUGAAGUGUGGACGCCAGUCUGCAUGGAGCCGACCUUGAAAUACCACCCUUUAAUGUUUGAUGUUCUAACGUGGACCCGUGAUCCGGGUUGCGGACAGUGUCUGGUGGGUAGUUUGACUGGGGCGGUCUCCUCCUAAAGAGUAACGGAGGAGCACGAAGGUUGGCUAAUCCUGGUCGGACAUCAGGAGGUUAGUGCAAUGGCAUAAGCCAGCUUGACCGCGAGCGUGACGGCGCGAGCAGGUGCGAAAGCAGGUCAUAGUGAUCCGGUGGUUCUGAAUGGAAGGGCCAUCGCUCAACGGAUAAAAGGUACUCCGGGGAUAACAGGCUGAUACCGCCCAAGAGUUCAUAUCGACGGCGGUGUUUGGCUCCUCGAUGUCGGCUCAUCACAUCCUGGAGCUGAAGUAGGUCCCAAGGGUAUGGCUGUUCGCCAUUUAAAGUGGUACGCGAGCUGGGUUUAGAACGUCGUGAGACAGUUCGGUCCCUAUCUGCCGUGGGCGCUGGAGAACUGAGGGGGGCUGCUCCUAGUACGAGAGGACCGGAGUGGACGCAUCACUGGUGUUCGGGUUGUCAUGCCAAUGGCACUGCCCGGUAGCUAAAUGCGGAAGAGAUAAGUGCUGAAAGCAUCUAAGCACGAAACUUGCCCCGAGAUGAGUUCUCCCUGACUCCUUGAGAGUCCUGAAGGAACGUUGAAGACGACGACGUUGAUAGGCCGGGUGUGUAAGCGCAGCGAUGCGUUGAGCUAACCGGUACUAAUGAACCGUGAGGCUUAACCUC
Molecule: ribosomal RNA, 1568 nt
Filed under: metagenome
Description: bacterial LSU rRNA
Rfam family: Bacterial large subunit ribosomal RNA
Source: RNAcentral